This 3812-nucleotide small RNA is filed under the name Pongo abelii (Sumatran orangutan). Its description in RNAcentral is "processed transcript". Lineage: Eukaryota; Metazoa; Chordata; Mammalia; Primates; Hominidae. The record is from RNAcentral.
GGUAAGCACCAGGCCUUUCAUCUUUAAAGGAGAUGUUCUCAAAAUGCCCAUCUUAGUGGGCCUGGUGAGGAUUUUUUCCAGGAAGUAGGUAGGAAAAGACAGAUUAUCCACAGGAAAGGUGCCUGUAUAGUCAGGCUACCUCCCCCUGUUACACAGAAGUCUAAACCGGAAUGUUUCAAAUUGUAUUCUGCCCACAGAUCACCCAGAGAUCAGGUUCAAAGGUAGAUUUUGGCCAGGCAUGGUGGACCAUGCCUGUAAUCCCAGCACUUUGGGAGGCCAAUCACUUGAGCUCAGGAGUUUGAGACCAGCCUGGGCAACAUGAUGAAACCCCAUCUCUAUGAAAAAUACAAAAAUUAGCCGGGUGUGACAGCUUGCACCUGUAUGUAGUCUUAACUACUUGGGUGGCUGGUGGCCGAAGUGGGAGGGUCACUUGAGUGCAAGAGGCAGAGGCUGCAGUGAUCCAAGAUUGUGGCACUGCACUCCAGCCUGGUAACAGAGUGAGACCCUGUCUCAAAACAAAAAACAAACAAACAAAAAAAACCCAAAGGUAGAUUCUGAUUCAGCAGGUCAGGUGUGGGGCCUAAGAUUCUGCCUUCCCAAUAAGCUCUCACGUGAUACCAAUGCCACUGCUCUGUCAACCACACUUUGAGUAACAAGUGCCUAAACCACUGAUUUCUACCCUGAUUGGUUAGUUCACCAUCCCCUCCUGCCUGCAACCUGCCUCACUGGAGAGGGGGAACUGGAUCUCUUUCCUCUAAGCUCACUCUGCAAGCCCACCUCUAGCUCAGAGGCUUGCCUGUCAACUCCCUGCUCUCAACUCUUGGAAGGACUCAAGACUUCGGGAAAUUGAAGAGUGUUUUUCCCCCAUGAAAACAAUUUCUGUCCACUUAAUUUAUUUACCUAGCCAUUGCUAGGUAGGUUUUAAAAAUGUAUUAAGACCUGAUGCUCUGUCUCCUGCCCAUCCCUGGGCCCAUCCAUUCAAGGCCGCAAUGGGAAGUGGCCACAGCCGUUCAUGGUGGGCCCUAGAGGAUGCAGUUUCUUGUUCUGAUUUGGGGAAUGAAGGUUAUUAGACUGUUGCACUCCAAGCUGGGUUAAUAGCUAACAAGUAGCCAAAUCCUUUGCCUGUGAAACAUCCAAUCUUAGCAUUAAAACAUGCACUGGUUGGGGCAUGACAGCUGUUGCAUUCACAGCAGCUACAAGAUUGUUGAUUCUUACCAGAUCUUCUUGAUACAGGUUUCAUGUGUCCUGAGAGCCCUUCCCAAUACAAUGAGGACAAUAAGGUGCUUUCCCCACUCUUUGGUUUUUGUCUGUUUGUUGUGGGGGACGGAGGAAGGCUGUUCUGUGAUUCAGUACAACUUCACCCAGGGUGGAGCAUGUCAGGCUCUGGCCUGGCUGCUGAAGGGAGCCUGCAGAAUGAGUUAGUGAUCCAGUGGUCAAUUUCAAACUGGUGGGGACCAGAGGCACCGAUGGCAGGAAGCAGCACCCCAUACCCUGAUCACCUUGUCAUCUCCUCCAGCCCUGGCACAUAGGCUGCAAGAAUUUGAGGAGUGUGAAGAAUCCUCUGAGUUGGCAUGGAUGGUACCUUUGUCUGCCUCCCAGGAGUAACUAGUCUCAGCCUGCCACUUAAGAGAGGUCAUCUUAUCUCGAAGGUCAGAGUCAAUUCUAGGCAGUAGCUGCCCUGCUCCAGGUUACAGGCAGGGCUUACAAGGAACUUGCCCUUCUGCUCCGGCCUGUGUAACCCUGGGUUCCUUGUGGGUGUUCCAGGCAGGUUCCUCCAGCGAAGCCAUCUUGAACACAAUGAGCCAGGAGCUGGUCCCAGCGAGCCGAGUGGCCUUGGCUGGGGAGUAUGGAGCAGUCACUUACAGGAAAUCCAAGAGAGGUCCCAAGCAACUAGCCCCUCACCCCAACAUCAUCCGGGUUCUCCGCGCCUUCACCUCUUCCGUGCCGCUGCUGCCAGGGGCCCUGGUUGACUACCCUGAUGUGCUGCCCUCACGCCUCCACCCUGAAGGCCUGGGCCACGGCCGGACGCUGUUCCUCGUUAUGAAGAACUAUCCCUGUACCCUGCGCCAGUACCUUUGUGUGAACACACCCAGCCCCCGCCUCGCCACCAUGAUGCUGCUGCAGCUGCUGGAAGGCGUGGACCAUUUGGUUCAACAGGGCAUCGCACACAGAGACCUGAAAUCCGACAACAUCCUUGUGGAGCUGGACCCAGACGGCUGCCCCUGGCUGGUGAUCGCAGAUUUUGGCUGCUGCCUGGCUGAUGAAAGCAUCGGCCUGCAGUUGCCCUUCAGCAGCUGGUACGUGGAUCGGGGCGGAAACGGCUGCCUGAUGGCCCCAGAGGUGAGUCCCGAGCCUGUCACACGCCAUCGGCAGCCCUUCCCCCACGUGUCCACUGAAUGCAGGAGACUCGAUGCGUUGUGAUAACCCAACACCUCCAUCUUUUCUGACCCAUAAUUUGGCACAAGUUCCUUCCCUGCCACUUUGCUUUCCUCCAGCUUUCCCUCAUGUUCCAGGACAAUGCAAGUCCUGUCACAUAAACCAGGCGGUCUAAGCAGACCCCUUCUGGGUCUGAGCCACAGCUCACUCAAGCUCUGGGUUCCUUGGGACAGAGUUCAGAUUAGCCCAUGAAUCAGGUGAUGUGCAGGACAUGAAAAGGUUAGAUAGGUGGGCAGCGUGAUGUCUCACCCACUUCUGAGCAGGUGUCCACGGCCCGUCCUGGCCCCAGGGCAGUGAUCGACUACAGCAAGGCUGAUGCCUGGGCAGUGGGAGCCAUCGCCUAUGAAAUCUUCGGGCUUGUCAAUCCCUUCUACGGCCAGGGCAGGGCCCACCUUGAAAGCCGCAGCUACCAAGAGGCUCAGCUACCUGCACUGCCCGAGUCAGUGCCUCCAGACGUGAGAGAGCUGGUGAGGGCACUGCUCCAGCGAGACGCCAGCAAGAGACCAUCUGCCCGAGUAGCUGCAAAUGUGCUUCAUCUAAGCCUCUGGGGUGAACAUAUUCUAGCCCUGAAGAAUCUGAAGUUAGACAAGAUGGUUGGCUGGCUCCUCCAACAAUCGGCCGCCACUUUGUUGGCCAACAGGCUCACAGAGAAGUGUUGUGUGGAAACAAAAAUGAAGAUGCUCUUUCUGGCUAACCUGGAGUGUGAAACGCUCUGCCAGGCAGCCCUCCUCCUCUGCUCAUGGAGGGCAGCCCUGUGAUGUCCCUGCAUGGAGCUGGUGAAUUACUAAAAGAACUUGGCAUCCUGUGUGUCGUGAUGGUCUGUGAAUUGUGAGGGUGGGAGUCAGGAGACAAGACGGCGCAGAGGGCUGGUUAGCCGGAAGAGGCCUCGGGCUUGGCAAAUGGAAGAACCUGAGUCAGAGUUCAGUCUGCAGUCCUGUGCUCACAGACAUCUGAAAAGUGAAUGGCCAAGCUGGUCUAGUAGAUGAGGCUGGACUGAGGAAGGGUAGGCCUGCAUCCACAUAGAGGAUCCAGGCCAAGGCACUGGCUGUCAGUGGCAGAGUUUGGCUGUGACAUUUGCCCCUAACACGAGGAACUCGUUUGAAGGGGGCAGCGCAGCAUGUCUGCAUUUGCCACCUGGAUGAAGGCAGACUUCAACAUUGGGUCAGCACGUUCAGUUACGGGAGUGGGAAAUUAUAUGAGGCCUGGGCCUCUGCGUUCCCAAGCUGUGCGUUCUGGACCAGCUACUGAAUUAAUCUCACUUAGCAAAAGUGACUGAUGAGCAGUAAGUAAGUGUGGGGAUUUAAACUUGAGGGUUUCCCUCCUGACUAGCCUCUCUUACAGGAAUUGUGAAAUAUUAAAUGCAAAUUUACAACUGC